RNAcentral lists this ribosomal RNA (253 nucleotides) under uncultured bacterium. RNAcentral describes it as "partial 16S ribosomal RNA". It matches the Rfam family "Bacterial small subunit ribosomal RNA", at positions 524 to 776 of the family's 1533-position model. The record is from RNAcentral.
UACGUAGGGUGCGAGCGUUAAUCGGAAUUACUGGGCGUAAAGCGUGCGCAGGCGGUUUUGUAAGCCAGAUGUGAAAUCCCCGGGCUUAACCUGGGAAUGGCAUUUGGGACUGCAAGGCUCGAGUGCGGCAGAGGAGACUGGAAUUCCUGGUGUCGCAGUGAAAUGCGUAGAUAUCAGGAGGAACACCGAUGGCGAAGGCAGGUCUCUGGGCUGACACUGACGCUCAUGCACGAAAGCGUGGGGAGCAAACAGG